Molecule: ribosomal RNA, 386 nt
Filed under: uncultured bacterium
Lineage: Bacteria
Description: bacterial SSU rRNA
Rfam family: Bacterial small subunit ribosomal RNA
Source: RNAcentral
GAUGAACGCUGGCGGCGUGCCUAAUACAUGCAAGUCGAACGCACAGCGAAAGGUGCUUGCACCUUUCAAGUGAGUGGCGAACGGGUGAGUAACACGUGGAUAACCUACCUCAAGGUUGGGGAUAACAUUUGGAAACAGAUGCUAAUACCGAAUAAAACUUCGUAUCGCAUGAUACAAGGUUAAAAGGCGCUACGGCGUCACCUAGAGAUGGAUCCGCGGUGCAUUAGUUAGUUGGUGGGUAAAGGCUACAGACAAUGAUGCAUAGCCGAGUUGAGAGACUGAUCGGCCACAUUGGGACUGAGACACGGCCCAAACUCCUACGGGAGCUGCAGUAGGGAAUCGUUCCACAAUGGGCGAAAGCCUGAUGGAGCAACGCCGACGUGUGU